This 250-nucleotide ribosomal RNA is filed under the name uncultured Actinomycetales bacterium. RNAcentral's name for it is "partial 16S ribosomal RNA". It matches the Rfam family "Bacterial small subunit ribosomal RNA", at positions 524 to 772 of the family's 1533-position model. The record is from RNAcentral. Lineage: Bacteria; Bacillati; Actinomycetota; Actinomycetes; Actinomycetales.
UACGUAGGGUCCGAGCGUUGUCCGGAUUUAUUGGGCGUAAAGAGCUCGUAGGCGGCUCAGUAAGUCGGAUGUGAAAACUCAGGGCUCAACCCUGAGACGCCAUCCGAUACUGCUGUGGCUUGAGUCUGGUAGGGGAGAACGGAAUUCCAGGUGUAGCGGUGAAAUGCGCAGAUAUCUGGAGGAACACCGAUGGCGAAGGCAGUUCUCUGGGCCAGUACUGACGCUGAGGAGCGAAAGCGUGGGGAGCAAA